GGUAGUUAGCUCAGUUGGUAGAGCAGUUGACUUUUAAUCAAUUGGUCGCAGGUUCGAAUCCUGCACGACCCACCA
Molecule: transfer RNA, 75 nt
Filed under: Salmonella enterica subsp. enterica serovar Typhimurium
Lineage: Bacteria; Pseudomonadati; Pseudomonadota; Gammaproteobacteria; Enterobacterales; Enterobacteriaceae
Description: tRNA-Lys
Rfam family: tRNA
About the family: Transfer RNA (tRNA) molecules are approximately 80 nucleotides in length.
Source: RNAcentral